This 1571-nucleotide long non-coding RNA is filed under the name Mus musculus (house mouse). Its description in RNAcentral is "long non-coding RNA chr4:102975869-102977440". Lineage: Eukaryota; Metazoa; Chordata; Mammalia; Rodentia; Muridae. The record is from RNAcentral.
GGGGGUUGGUUUUUUUUUCUUUUUUACUUUUUAAAAAAAAAUAAUCAUUUUUACAUAAAAUCAAAUUUAAAAGAUGUUUAUUUAAAAUUGUUUGUAGCAGACAGAAAUGACAUUUAUGUUUUCUGAACAUAAUUCAAAAACUUUAAUCCCCUCAGAGUCUGUGAGUUAUUACCUGAAAGACAAGCUACCCAUAAAUUUCCCGCUUCCUAGACUAAGCAUAUAUUAAUUCCACCUGACUCAGCCAACUUCAUUAUCUUAUUGGCAUCUUUUCUGGCAAAAUGAAUCUCAUGUAUUCGUCAUCACCUUAAGCUAGUUAAAAUAAUAAACUGCAAGACUGCCUCAGACCACCCAAUACCUGGUGUUUUUCUUCGGAGUGGCUGGGAUGACAUUUCUUAAAGCUGCAUUGACUCCACAGGUUGGUGUUUAAUUACUGCUUUUUAAAAUGAACAUGCAUGGAAGAGAUGGGUGCCUCUCCCUCUGUCUUCCUACCCCUUCCAUCCUCCUGCAUCCUCCUCCCAUCUCCCCCACACACACCCCCACCCCACUUGGCCCCUUAACUCAGUCAAAGGGACCUGGAUAAUUGCUGUUGAAUGAUCAUUUUGGAACCCAGCAGGAGCUGCAGCGGUAACACUAGAGCCCUCCCUACUAGCAGAGGAGGAAUUUCCAGGGCUGAUUUUAGGCUGUUUGAACACUAUUGUGUUUCAAAUGAAAAGGUUUUCUCAUUAGUUUUUCCCUUGUGUAGGGCAAAACCUCUGAAUGAAAUGACCAGUUUGAAUCAUCAGUUCCUAACAAGUGGCAGUGUAAGCCAUUUGGGUUUUACUGUUAACAAUAAGAAACUAAGAAAGGCAUCACAGAGAAAUGUUGCUGUGUUUCUAACUUAGAGUUAUGCAAUCCAUCGGGUCAGUGAAGAUGUUUAUCAGUGUGUACUUUGACCUGGUAGUGGCCUUUAUUUCAGAUUAUCCGUGACCCACGUAGCAAUGUACACUGACUCUCUGUAUAAUCCUCUGCUACAUGUACCAUCGCACAAAACAUCUCGGGCAUCAAAUAUUCACAGAAGAAACGGUGUGUUCAAAUAUUCAAGUAUAUUUAAAUUUUAGUCAGAAAGUCAGUGCCUCGUCUUUCUUCCCUCCUGCUCAUUUCAACAGUGUGUGACUUACUGGCCCAGUAUGGCUUACUGCUUCCUGUGAGCUCAGCCCGGCAGCAGCAGAGGCUUGCUCCCUCUGACGACCCACCGCUAUGAGCUCUCUACAGGGCAAGCAGGACAGAAAUGCGGCUGAACUGAUUGAAGAUAAUAAUCAUGAUACCAUCUCCAUAUCACUCACCUUAUGAGUUAGUAAAAGUGUGGAUAUCAUUUUUUGUAACUGGUGAUUUUUAUAAAUGUCCUUGCCUUCAUAGUCCUUCCAGUCACCCAUCUCACAAAAUCUUGAAUAUGCAAUUAUUCUUCAUGACACAUUACUGCAAAUAGGGUUCCCAUUUGAAAAUGCAGUUUAAUGUAAGUUGUUAUUGAAUUGUGAUUUUUUUUUCCUGGAAAAUAAAUGGAAAAAAUAUGAAAAUAAACCAAGCUGUGAACC